AUGAUCAAUGCGGUUGGUUUGGUGUCAUGGCGCCUUCUGAUAUAUAUGAUGAUCUUUAUCUGUAGUUUGGGAAUAUUCUUAGCUUUGAACUGCUGAAUUAAGAGAGGAAGGUUGAUAAACUUUUUGGCCCUUGUUUGUAUCUAGUAAAUGUAGAUAUUGUCUUCAACUGAUUGAGAGCUUGUUAGUUUGUAGGGAAUGCUGUUUCUCUUUACCAUCUAGUAAUCCACAUUAG
Molecule: unclassified non-coding RNA, 232 nt
Filed under: Hevea brasiliensis (rubber tree)
Lineage: Eukaryota; Viridiplantae; Streptophyta; Magnoliopsida; Malpighiales; Euphorbiaceae
Source: RNAcentral